RNAcentral lists this long non-coding RNA (418 nucleotides) under Mytilus galloprovincialis (Mediterranean mussel). The record is from RNAcentral. Lineage: Eukaryota; Metazoa; Mollusca; Bivalvia; Mytilida; Mytilidae.
GGCUAAUUAUUGCUUCUUCCAGGAUUCUUUAUGAGAUAUCGAUCAAAAUGUUUUCUCAAAACUGUAGGUUAUGACAUUUCGUACACCCCUAGUUUUUUAAUGGAGUUCGUGUUGUUUAUUCUUUAGUUUUCUAUGUUGUGUCAUGUGUACUAUUGUUUUUCUGUUUGUCUUUUUCAUUUUUAGCCAUGGCGUUGUCAGUUUGUUUUAUAUUUAUGAGUUUGACUGUCCGUUUGGUAUCUUUCGUCCCUCUUUUCGUAACAUAUAUAUUCGGAUACAACGGUGUGCAUAUUGAAAUUUGCUGAUGUCAUAUUGAAUUAGCUUUAUACAAUUCGUUUACCAUUCAUAAUUCAUGUCUUUAUUGUAAAACAUUGAAAUGUACUAACUCAGUUGUAUUUUGUAUACUGUGGUUAGUUUUUUA